Molecule: ribosomal RNA, 444 nt
Filed under: uncultured bacterium
Lineage: Bacteria
Description: partial 16S ribosomal RNA
Rfam family: Bacterial small subunit ribosomal RNA
Source: RNAcentral
CCUACGGGAGGCAGCAGUGGGGGAUAUUGGACAAUGGGGGGGAACCCUGAUCCAGCGACGCCGCGUGAGUGAAGAAGUAUUUCGGUAUGUAAAGCUCUGUCAGCAGGGAAUAAAGCAAUGACGGUACCUGACAAAGAAGCCCCGGCUAACUAAGUGCCAGCAGCCGCGGGAAUACGUAGGGGGCAAGCGUUAUCCGGAAUUACUGGGUGUAAAGGGAGCGUAGACGGCUGUGCAAGUCUGGAGUGAAAGGCGGGGGCCCAACCCCCGGACUGCUCUGGAAACUGUAUGGCUGGAGUGCAGGAGAGGUAAGCGGAAUUCCUAGUGUAGCGGUGAAACGCGUAGAUAUUAGGAGGAACACCAGUGGCGAAGGCGGCUUACUGGACUGUAACUGACGUUGAGGCUCGAAAGCGUGGGGAGCAAACAGGAUUAGAUACCCUUGUAGUC